This 586-nucleotide ribosomal RNA is filed under the name uncultured bacterium. RNAcentral describes it as "bacterial SSU rRNA". It matches the Rfam family "Bacterial small subunit ribosomal RNA", at positions 338 to 917 of the family's 1533-position model. The record is from RNAcentral.
CCUACGGGAGGCAGCAGUGGGGAAUUUUGGACAAUGGGCGAAAGCCUGAUCCAGCAAUGCCGCGUGAGUGAAGAAGGCCUUCGGGUUGUAAAGCUCUUUUGUCAGGGAAGAAACGGUGUUUUCUAAUACAGAAUGCUAAUGACGGUACCUGAAGAAUAAGCACCGGCUAACUACGUGCCAGCAGCCGCGGUAAUACGUAGGGUGCAAGCGUUAAUCGGAAUUACUGGGCGUAAAGCGUGCGCAGGCGGUUUUGUAAGUCUGACGUGAAAUCCCCGGGCUCAACCUGGGAAUUGCGUUGGAGACUGCAAGGCUAGAGUUUGGCAGAGGGGGGUAGAAUUCCACGUGUAGCAGUGAAAUGCGUAGAUAUGUGGAGGAACACCGAUGGCGAAGGCAGCCCCCUGGGUCAAGACUGACGCUCAUGCACGAAAGCGUGGGGAGCAAACAGGAUUAGAUACCCUGGUAGUCCACGCCCUAAACGAUGUCUACUAGUUGUCGGGUCUUAAUUGACUUGGUAACGCAGCUAACGCGUGAAGUAGACCGCCUGGGGGAUACGGUCGCAAGNUUAAAACUCAAAGGAAUUGACCGG